Molecule: small RNA, 674 nt
Filed under: Arabidopsis thaliana (thale cress)
Lineage: Eukaryota; Viridiplantae; Streptophyta; Magnoliopsida; Brassicales; Brassicaceae
Description: ATSL155620
Source: RNAcentral
UUUUUUUCUCUUUGAUGUUGUUGUUGUUUUGAUUUGUUGGUGAAAGAAGAGUUGCGUGAACGUUUAUUAUAUAGGCCAAUUUUUGUGACUAAUUUACGACUACAACUAAAUAAUUAGGUGUACCUACUUACCAAUGUGAAACACGUUUUCCAUCUACUUUAUACGACUAUGGUGCGACGUUUCUACGACUACAGGCUGACUAAGACGUCUAAUCGUCCUGUAGUCGCCAAAUUAGCGACUAAAUAAAAUAGACGGUAGAAUAGUCGUUAAUUAGCGACUAAGCAACGACAAAAUUAUCCCUUCAAUAAUAUAAUCGUCAAAUAGUCGUUACUUGCCGACUCUUUGCCGACUGCAUACGAUAGUCGUAAAACAACGACUAUGUAACUACAAUUUUUCGUGUUGUCGCAUGCGAGUCGUAAAUCCGUCGUCAAAUAGUCGUAUAAUGUUACGACUACGUUUGUUGUCGCUGAUUGUAGUCGUCGUUUACCUGUUUUCUUGUAGUGAUAAUCCUUAACUAGUUCCGAGGCUAACAACAAAUUCUCCAUUAUAAGCCGAUCUUUGAUGAAUACAGACUGGUUAUUCACUACAGGAAAAUGGGUUUUUAAUAGCACAGAAAUAUAGCGUUUUAUGUCAAUAUGCUAUCAUUGAUAGAAGGAUAAAAUAAAGAUAACGUC